RNAcentral lists this ribosomal RNA (554 nucleotides) under uncultured Halomonas sp. RNAcentral's name for it is "bacterial SSU rRNA". It matches the Rfam family "Bacterial small subunit ribosomal RNA", at positions 338 to 883 of the family's 1533-position model. The record is from RNAcentral. Lineage: Bacteria; Pseudomonadati; Pseudomonadota; Gammaproteobacteria; Oceanospirillales; Halomonadaceae.
CCUACGGGAGGCAGCAGUGGGGAAUAUUGGACAAUGGGCGCAAGCCUGAUCCAGCCAUGCCGCGUGUGUGAAGAAGGCCCUCGGGUUGUAAAGCACUUUCAGCGAGGAAGAACGCCUGGCGGUUAAUACCCGCCAGGAAAGACAUCACUCGCAGAAGAAGCWCCGGCUAACUCCGUGCCAGCAGCCGCGGUAAUACGGAGGGUGCAAGCGUUAAUCGGAAUUACUGGGCGUAAAGCGCGCGUAGGUGGCUUGWUAAKCCGGUUGUGAAAKCCCCGGGCUCAACCUGGGAACGGCAUCCGGAACUGUCAUGCUAGAGUGCAGGAGAGGAAGGUAGAAUUCCCGGUGUAGCGGUGAAAUGCGUAGAGAUCGGGAGGAAUACCAGUGGCGAAGGCGGCCUUCUGGACUGACACUGACACUGAGGUGCGAAAGCGUGGGUAGCAAACAGGAUUAGAUACCCCUGGUAGUCCACSCCGUAAACGAUGUCGACCAGCCGUUGGGUGCCUAGCGCWCUUUGUGGCGAAGUUAACGCGAUAAGUCGCCCCCCUGGAUGGGAC